UACAGAGGGUGCGAGCGUUAAUCGGAAUUACUGGGCGUAAAGCGCACGUAGGUGGCGACGUAAGUCGGGUGUGAAAGCCCCGGGCUCAACCUGGGAAUUGCAUUCGAGACUGUGUUGCCGGAGUACGGAAGAGGAGGGCGGAAUUCCCGGUGUAGCGGUGAAAUGCGUAGAUAUCGGGAGGAACAUCAGUGGCGAAGGCGGCCCUCUGGUCCAGUACUGACACUCAAGUGCGAAAGCGUGGGGAGCAAACAGG
RNAcentral lists this ribosomal RNA (253 nucleotides) under uncultured bacterium. RNAcentral describes it as "partial 16S ribosomal RNA". It matches the Rfam family "Bacterial small subunit ribosomal RNA", at positions 524 to 776 of the family's 1533-position model. The record is from RNAcentral.